GUCAACUGCCAAACGGUCAUAACGCUUCAUAUAUCUGUAGUUGGCAUCAACCUCAAAUUGCAGUCUCUUCAAUUUUCUCCAAGUAGGUCCAAGCUUAAUCAAAUCACCUUCUCCGAUAACCCUACAAUUCUUGAUGCAGAGAUCUUCAAGCAUUUCAUGUUUUCCGAGAUAUUCUAGCCACUCCAUACUACUGACACUAAGA
RNAcentral lists this unclassified non-coding RNA (202 nucleotides) under Hevea brasiliensis (rubber tree). Lineage: Eukaryota; Viridiplantae; Streptophyta; Magnoliopsida; Malpighiales; Euphorbiaceae. The record is from RNAcentral.